Molecule: ribosomal RNA, 532 nt
Filed under: uncultured bacterium
Lineage: Bacteria
Description: bacterial SSU rRNA
Rfam family: Bacterial small subunit ribosomal RNA
Source: RNAcentral
GCGUGAGUGAAGAAGGUCUCGGAUCGUAAACUCUGUUGUUAGGGAAGAACAAGUGCCGUUCGAAUAGGGCGGCGCCUUGACGGUACCUAACCAGAAAGCCACGGCUAACUACGUGCCAGCAGCCGCGGUAAUACGUAGGUGGCAAGCGUUGUCCGGAAUUAUUGGGCGUAAAGCGCGCGCAGGUGGUUUCUUAAGUCUGAUGUGAAAGCCCACGGCUCAACCGUGGAGGGUCAUUGGAAACUGGGGAACUUGAGUGCAGAAGAGGAAAGUGGAAUUCCAAGUGUAGCGGUGAAAUGCGUAGAUAUUUGGAGGAACACCAGUGGCGAAGGCGACUUUCUGGUCUGUAACUGACACUGAGGCGCGAAAGCGUGGGGAGCAAACAGGAUUAGAUACCCUGGUAGUCCACGCCGUAAACGAUGAGUGCUAAGUGUUAGAGGGUUUCCGCCCUUUAGUGCUGCAGCUAACGCAUUAAGCACUCCGCCUGGGGAGUACGGUCGCCAAGACUGAAACUCAAAGGACUUGACGGGGGCCC